Molecule: long non-coding RNA, 2213 nt
Filed under: Oryctolagus cuniculus (rabbit)
Lineage: Eukaryota; Metazoa; Chordata; Mammalia; Lagomorpha; Leporidae
Description: lncRNA (ENSOCUG00000034612.1)
Source: RNAcentral
UGUCCCAGCUCCUGGCCUUCCGGGCGCACCCCCGGCAGCAGCAGGGAUGCCCCAUGGGUUCCAACCGCUAGCCCCGGCCCCCGGCAGUCCCAAAGCAGCCCGGGAGGUUCGAGGGGGCGGGCCCCGGGAGGGGGCGGAUCCGGAGGGCCCGGCCCAGCGGGCGGGCCCGCUCCCCUCCCCCCCGAGCGGAGCCCCCCGCCGGGGCCGAAUCCCGCGCGCCGCGCUCCGGGGCUCCUCCGGCUGCGCUUGGCGCCGGAGCUCGGCCGCCGCCGCUGCUGUCCGACGUGUCACUGCGAGGGCCCCGCCCCCAGGGGCGGGGUCUCCGGCUCCGGCUACCGGAGAGGGCGGAGAGGGGGGAGGUUAAAGGGGAAGGACCCCCGGAAGUGCCCCCUCCUCAGCGUGCGAGAGGGAGACGCCGGGGGGCGGAGUCGCCCGCCUCCCCCCGCCGGUUGGUGCGUCCCGGGUGACGUCAGAGGCAGCCCUCCCCUGCCGGUGGUGCGCCCUGAGUGACGUCAGGAGCCGCGGCCGGAGCUGUCCAUCAGCACCAGAGGCCUCGGGCGGGCUCAGGGCAUGGGGCCGCGGCUCUGGGGCAGCCCGAGCCCUUGCUCCUGCUCCUCUCCCUUUCCCAGGCCCGGUCCAAGUGCCCGGACGCCGCGGGACUGGAGUGCCAGGCGGUGUUGGAGGUGGAGCGGCGACGGCGCCGCGCAGAGACCGGGCUCCGCGGCCCAGCAGCCCCCUGCCCCACACGACGGACUUUCCCAGGACCUCAGUCAGUGGGAGCCUCUGGCGCCCCGCGACCCCGGCCCCUCCGGCGCCCGCUCGGCCGCUUUGGCUCAGAAGCUCAGGUCGCCUCCAGCGCAGGUGGACCUGGGAGGGUGACCCCUCUGGCUUCCCAGCACUAUGCCGGGCACUGCGGCGACACUGCGAUUCCAGCUGCUCCCCCCCGAGCCAGACGAUGCCUUCUGGGGUGCGCCUUGUGAACAUCCCCUGGAGCGCAGGUACCAGGCGCUGCCGGCCCUCGUCUGCAUCAUGUGCUGUUUGUUUGGAGUCGUCUACUGCUUCUUCGGUGAGAUCCCCGGCUCAUCCCUCACUUGUUUUCCCAAGUUCUUUCUCUGCCCUCUUCCACUCUUUUCCAGAACCCACUACCACCACUGUGAGCGACUUGCUUUUCUGUCUUUCAUCCCACAGCGUUUGUAAGUCUUCUAGACUCUAGAGAACACAGGUUUUUGAAUUGGACACACUUGAGUUUGAACUUGGCUUUGCACUUUACUAACUGUAAUGCCUUGGGCAUAGUAACCUGAGCCUCAGUUUUCUCAUCUGAACAGUGGGGACAAUGACAUUUGUCUUACAUUAGGUCGUUAGAAAAAUUAGUAGGUGCUAAGUAGAAGCAAUUUUUAAAGAUUUGUUUGAAUCAUUACUCUAAGAAGGCACUGACAAUUCUCAGGAGAGUCAUUAAGCCUGAUCCCUUACCACAGGGCAUAUUGUCUGGUGGGGAGAGACUCCUGAAACAGUGACACCUGUGACAUGGGCCAGAGUGGGCCGGGUGGCAGCCACACACACAGAGAUUCCCUACCAGGCAGGCUGGAGCAAUCAGGCAGGCUGUGAACAGUUGUACAGGAUGAGUACUGCACAAGAAAGCUCAGUUGUAUGGGCAAGAGGGGGUUGAAAUCUGGCUUGUGCUCUACUCACAGUCCAGGCUGCUUUCCCUUUCUCUAAUUUGCACAAAGGUGUCACAUGGACUAGUGGGAGCCUGGAAUGAGUGGUCAGUGGUUCUACAGAAAGCGUUAACUGAACUUCAGAGAGGACAGUGGGUGCCACGGACUGGGGGUCCAAGGGAAGCCUGUGGUAGGAGGACUGUGGAUCAGAACUGGCGCAGGCAAAGGAGGCUGGGAAGUUUGGGUUUUAGACCAGGCAGAAAUGGGGCAAGACUUGUGCUCUGCCCCCUCCAUCCCUCCUCCUGGAAUGGGUGGGCAGACAGGGAUGGGAGCCAGACAGUCCUUUCCACCCCCAGACUCUGGGCUGACUAGCUGCAGAGUGGGUAGGAUGCAGUACCCCCGCUAGGGUGCAGGAUGCACUCCGGGCCUCCAGGGAGUCUGUGUCCUCUCACCUCUGCUAGCCACAUGCAGCCCCUCUGCCCUCUGCCUGGCGCUUGGUGCAGCCCUGUAUCCCUGUCCCGGGUUCCCAGCACCCUGCCCCUCUGCAAUGCUUCCACU